This 497-nucleotide ribosomal RNA is filed under the name uncultured bacterium. RNAcentral describes it as "partial 16S ribosomal RNA". It matches the Rfam family "Bacterial small subunit ribosomal RNA", at positions 28 to 507 of the family's 1533-position model. The record is from RNAcentral.
GAUGAACGCUGGCGGCGUGCCUAAUACAUGCAAGUCGAGCGAACAGACGAGGAGCUUGCUCCUCUGACGUUAGCGGCGGACGGGUGAGUAACACGUGGAUAACCUACCUAUAAGACUGGGAUAACUUCGGGAAACCGGAGCUAAUACCGGAUAAUAUAUUGAACCGCAUGGUUCAAUAGUGAAAGACGGUUUUGCUGUCACUUAUAGAUGGAUCCGCGCCGCAUUAGCUAGUUGGUAAGGUAACGGCUUACCAAGGCAACGAUGCGUAGCCGACCUGAGAGGGUGAUCGGACACACUGGAACUGAGACACGGUCCAGACUCCUACGGGAGGCAGCAGUAGGGAAACUUCCGCAAUGGGCGAAAGCCUGACGGAGCAACGCCGCGUGAGUGAUGAAGGUCUUCGGAUCGUAAAACUCUGUUAUUAGGGAAGAACAAAUGUGUAAGUAACUAUGCACGUCUUGACGGUACCUAAUCAGAAAGCCACGGCUAACUACGUG